Long non-coding RNA from Octopus bimaculoides (California two-spot octopus), 5215 nucleotides. The record is from RefSeq and is a predicted model, not a curated record. NCBI's taxonomy places the organism in Eukaryota, Metazoa, Mollusca, Cephalopoda, Octopoda, Octopodidae.
AUAUAUAUCUAUUAGAUAAAAGUCAAUGUCUUUAUGUGUAUUCGUUUGUUUCUUAUAGACUUGAAAACUACUGCACCAAUCCUAAUGAAAUUUGGAACACAAAAUCCAAGCCUAGGGAGAAGGGUAAUGCCGUAUGUUUCAUACAAUUUCAUGGACCAAAAUUACUGAAUGGAUACUUAUGAUAUUUGGAACUUAGAUUCAAUGCAUAAGGUCCAACACGCCUAACCUCAUCUGCUGCACCUGACAACUUACAUUGAUCCCUCAACAUUACAUUCCGCUACGUUUGGUGACUCCAACAAAGAAUAAUAGCCUUCACUUCAAGCAUCAUUGAACCCGAACUGGAAAAUUGCUGCAAUUAGUCAUCACACUACUUAUGUGAUUUUAUCAUAUUGAGGCCCAGUUUUCUUUGAAUCGAAUUGUUAGUGAUGCAGCUCACCUAAAGCAUGCGAUCAGAUCACUAUUGCCAGAAAUUAUGAACAUGGUCCAAGAUCUCAUUUUGACACCACCUGGUUCUGUGUCAUAUGACACAUUCAAAAUUACUUUCAUUAAGAGGACUUCAGAGUUGCAACAAAAGCAUCUUCACCAGCUCCUUAUAUCGGAGCGUCUCCAUCAGCUGCUAAUGUCGGAGUGUCUCCACCAGCUCCUUAUAACGGAGUAUCUCUGCCAGCUCCUUAUAUCAGAGCAUCUCCACCAGCUGCUUAUAUUGGAGGAAUUAGAAGACAGAAAACCAUCCCAGAUUCUACAGAGAAUGAAGCAGCUUCUGAGAGAACAGAAAUCUUUAAGCUGCUUUUUCUCCAGCAUCUUCCCUCCAAUACACAAGUGGUCUUGGCUUCCACCAGAGAAUCCACUUCACUUGAGGAACUGGCUGAGCUUGCAGACAAAAUUGCCAAAGUACCACAUAAAUAUUCUACCUUAUCUACUGUGACUCCAGCUGUUCCUUCCAUCAUUCCUUUCCUUUUGUCAUCUAGUGUUUGGAAAUUUUGGACUUGUGUUCAUCAAUGAUGGCCCUAUUGUUUGGUAUACCCCUUCAAAGUAGCAGCUGACUGCAUCGAUUUGGUAGACAGUCACAAAGCCUGAGUGCCUCCUGUUAUUCACAAGAAACAUGUUUGGAACACAGGCACAGAAAUGCAUGCCCCUAUGUUCAUUCUUGACAUCUCAUUCGGGAAACAAAACAGUCAAGGAUUGAAUAUGAUGGAUGUUCCUGGCUCUCACCCACAAAGUCGCCUGAUUUUCAUCUGUGACUGUUUAACAGGCACAUGUUUCCUUGUUGAUACUGGUGCAGAAGUCAGCAUAAUCCUUGUUUCCUGCACUCCAGGCAACAGAAAAGAAAUACCAGUCUAUCUUCAGGCAGUCAAUCACUCACCGAUUCCUACUUACGAUGAACAGUCCCUAACAAUGGACUUAGGACUGCACCACACCUAGUGAGUAUUCGUCAUAGCUAAGCUGCCGAUCCCUAUUUUAGGAGCCAAUUUUCUUCACCAUUUUGGUCACCUGGUGAAUAUCAAGCAUGGAAGACUUGUUGACAGCACCACUCAGCUCACUGUGCAUGGUAUAGCCACUCAGAUGGUGGCAGUCAGCCCAAUCAUUUUACAGUCAACAAUAACAACCCGUCACAGUGCUAUCCUCAAAGAAUACCCUAAUAUUGCUCAACCUGUAUCCCAUAAUAAACCCAUUAAACAUAAAGUCACCCACCAUAUCAAGACCCUGUUGCUGCACGACCCCAAAGGCUACCACUAGAACAUCUCAAGGCUGUCAAACAAGUAUUCCAACACAUGCUCAACCUCAGAAUCAUCCGCCCACCCAGCAGCAACUGGUUCUCACCUGUAUACUGCAUCAACUGAUUGGUGAGUUUGCGGUGACUGUUGAUCACUGAACAACUGCACUGUAUCUGAUGCAUAUCAUAUGCCUCCUCUACAGGACUUUUCUAGCUCGCUGCAUGGAGCUCACAUAUUUUUGAAGAUCGACCUUGAGUGAACUUGUAAACAAAUACCUGUAGAACCCGCGGAUAUUCCGAAGACUGCAGCCACAACACCUUUUGGAAUGUUCGAAUUCCUGCGUAUGCCUUUUGGUUUACAAAAUGCAGUGCAGACAUUCCAAUGGUUCAUCAACAUGGUUACCAGAGGCUUGCCUUUCAUCUAUGCAUACAUAGACGACUUGCUUGUGGCCAGUAGCUCAGACAAAGAACAUGAACAACAUCUGCACCUGCUGUUCUAAUGCCUGUGGGAAUAUCGUAUUGUCAUCAACCCCAGCAAGUGCACUUCGGAGUUGCAUCCCUUUGUUUUCUUGGAUACAUUGUAGAUAAGUAUGGCAUUUGCCCACUCCCAGAGAAAGUCAAAGCCAUUGUAGAUUUUCCAUCACCCACAUCUCUUCGUAAACUGUGGGAAUUUCUUGGCCCAGUGAACUUCUAGUGUAGAUUCAUACCUCACUGUGCAGAGACAGCCCAACCCCUCACAGAUUUGCUGCAACAGCAAACAAGCAAAAAUGUAAACGUUGUACUGAAUGAAAAAGAACACACCUCUUUCACAAAAUUGAAAAAGGUGCUAUCUAAGGCUACCAUGCUCAUGUAUAUCAAAAAAAGAGGUCCCACUAUGUGUACUGGUUGAUGCAUCCAAUUCCAGAGUUGGAGGCAUGCUCCAACAACUCACUGAUGGUAUUUGGCAACUCGUAUCUUUUAUUUCUUAGUGCUGAGAGAAUUAUUGGCAGUAUAUCUUGCUGUCAAGCAUUUUCAACACAUGCUAGAAGGUUGUGUUUUCUCAAUCUACACUGGCCAUAAACCGCUGGUUUAUGCAUUCAACACCAAGCCUGAUCAUCACUCACCCAGGGAAGUCUGACAUCUAGACUUCAUAUUCCAAUACACAACUAACAUUCGCCACAUUAAGGGUGCAAACAACUCUACAGCUGAUGCCCUGUCACACAUGGAGCUUAAUGCAAUUCACACCACUGCUACUAUUGAUCUCCAGCAGAUUGCAGCUGAUCAACAAGAUGAAGGACUACUAAAGCUCCAGAAUUCAUCAUCUCUGAAAUUUCAGUAAUUUCCAUUACCCUCUGCUACAGGCUAUAUUUAGUGCAACACCGCCACUGGCAAUGAACAUCCAUAUAUGCCGCAGAAACAUUGACAUGUUUCCUUUGCAUUGCAUUCCCUAGCACAUCCUGGUGUCUGCACCACACAAAAGCUGAUAUUGACCCGUUUUGUGUGGCCCAAAAAGGACACCCACGAAUGGGUUAGGAGCUGUGUCACAUGCCAAAAAGCAAAGAUUCACCGACACAUUAAAUCUGCUAUUGGUUCAUUUGCAACUCCUGAUGCAUGUUUUCAACACAUGCACAUCAACAUCAUUGGACCCUUGCCUCCUUCUAACUACUGCACUCACCUCACCUGUGUUGACAGAUUUUCUUGCUGAUCGGAAGCUUUUCCCCUAUUGGAUACUUCUGUAGAAACUGUCACCAAAACGCUAGUGUUUUAUUGGGUUUCACCUUUUGGUACACCUGUGACAAUCACCACUGACAGAGGAUGUCAGUUCAAUUCUCACCUCUUCACUGAGAUGACAACAGCAUAUCACCCCUCAGCAAAUGGCAUGGUCGAAUGCUUUCACUGCCAACUUAAGGCAGCUAUUAAAGCCUAUCUGGACUGCUCCAACUGGUUGGAAUAUCUUCUACUCAUCCUCCUUUGUAUUCAAUCCACGGUUAAAGAGGGAGUCGGACAUACUCCGGCUGAAUUUAUUUAUGGCACAGCACUGACUUUACCUGGUCAGAUGCUAAUAUCUGUUUUUCUACAGUCACUUCCUGAUCCUUCAAAAUAUGUCAGUCGUUUGUGGACAUCUAUGUCCCAUCUUUCACCUGCAAGCCCUCAACAGCAGAAUGUUGCUACACAUGUCCCAGAGGACAUCAGUAUAUAGAAAUAUGUUUUUGUUCAGAAUGAUGGUUUUCCUCAGCAACUUUGUCCCCCUUUUUCUGGACCCUACCAACAGGAAACCAAAAUAUUUCAUUCUGGAUAUAUAUGAAAACAAAAAACAAAAUACUGUCAGCGUUGAUUGUUUGGAAUAAGCAUUUGUUGAACCAGAUUUACAACCAGUUCCUACUAUUUCCCAAACAAACUCAACAAUGUCAACUUUACCUUUCACAAACGCCUCAAAUUCUGCACAACCCCAGCACACCAAAUUGGGAAGAACAGGUUGAUGGCCGCAAGUUAUGUUCAAGUCUUUCAGAUAAGUACAAAUUCUCCAGCUAGGCGUCAUUUCAAUUGAAAUGUCCACUUCAACAAAAAAGAAAAAAUCUUUUCGUGGUUAUGAGCAAUUGCCACACACAUUACCCAAUUGACUAUACAUCACUCACAUACAAACAUAAAAAUAAAAAUUACAAAAACCAUUUUUUUAUAUAAUCAACAUCUUGUUCUGCUAAUUGAACUGACUGAACAUUUAAUCAAAGAACUUUUUGCACGAACAUUUUUAUUUCUGUGAAAUUAUAUUCUCUUGCAUGCACAUAUAUUUUGCUUUGUUUUCAAAACAUUUUGCUCCAUAUUUUUCCAUUCUUUCGCUUCACCUGUUUUGACAAGUAUUCAGUUGUUGUUUGUACAUCCAUUUCAACUUCACAUGUUCAAUCUCUUUGGCUCUUUGGGGUGAGGGUAGUGUUGAAAUUAUAUUUUAUUUUUUUGACUGAGAUUUGAAACCGAAUCUAAGAAUUCUCGCUCACUGGAUCCACCCGCUAUUUGCUGACCAAGCAGGAAAAUUUCUUUGUCCUGUCAAAAUGAUUGAUGAGUUUCCACUUGACCUUUGACCUGGCUGUGUCACAGAAAGUUCAACUGGAUAGCAAGUGGCCUAAAUGUGUAUAAGCCACUCUUAUAAUGAUAUAUCCAUCCUUCUAGCUAGAAUGGGCCAUUAUAAAUACCAGUUCUGUAGGCAGACACGGACAGUCAGCAGAGUGAGCUGAGAGAGACCAGAUAGAUAGCUCCAGACCCGACAAAGAAACAAGGUAGAGAGACAACACACCAGAAGUGAUGGGUGAAUGCACACACAGACACAAUAUAUGUUUUUGUAUUGUCUCGUCCCAUUAACAUUCUCUUUCCUCUGUUUUACUUCACACAUUUCUCUGUGUACACAACUUCACUGACUCGAAGUAGCUGGCUGCAUUAUGUAGUGGCAUAUUUGUUCAUAUUUCAAAUCAGGCUCUCAGUAUCCAACAAGUGGAUGCAACUAUGACCAAAUAAAUAAUGUAAAAUACA